Homo sapiens (human) is the source of this 892-nucleotide long non-coding RNA. The record is from Ensembl. NCBI's taxonomy places the organism in Eukaryota, Metazoa, Chordata, Mammalia, Primates, Hominidae.
CAAGGACAGCAGUAGGAGCUUACUGCAGUGACUGUAUCAUAACUGCUGGUUAUGAGGAUUGGAUUUCUUUUUUGCAGAUGUCACGUGCCGGGGUGAACUGUUAUUAACUAAAAGGAGUCAGGGCUUAGCUGCAAGAAAGGAGGAAUUGCUCUUAAAGUGCUUGGAAGUCACCGAUCUAACCAACGGACAAAAAAUUUCCUGAGGACAGACCCUCCCCUCUGGAGGCAUCCUUCUAUCAUUGGCUCCUGACUCCCCGAAGCAAGGUCAAGUGGGAGUUUAAUAGCUGUUCCUGGGACUGUGCAGAGGGCAGCCCUUUGAACUCAGUGUCUCAAUCCCACAGGUGGGAGGUUCCCACCACUGCGUAAUUUCGAGAGGGAGGGCCGAGACUGCCUGGGGGGAAGUCCCAUGGCUACCUGGUUCGAGGCAGCUCUUUGAUAUCUCCUGGAGCACUCCUGGUCCUAGAACCAGACAGCUCUCAACUGAACUGACACAAGUAACAAACUCAGCAUCCCCUCUCCUGGGCAUUCCUACAAGCCAUGCGAGCCCCGUGUUGGUGGAGACACUGCCUUCUCCACCGCAGACACCAACAAGUUAGAAUGGAGAAACUGUCUAUGGCCCUACCACUCUGAACACGCCGGAUGUCAUCUCAUCUCGGAAGCUAAGCAGGGUCGGGCCUGCUUAGGACUUGGGUGGGAGAAUGGAGAAAUUGAUGGACUUUUGACGAUGCAGGUUUUAACAUCAGAUCUGAGCCCUAAUAGCUGUGUGUCUCAGCUGUCUGGGCCACACCAUUAACAGGGAAAAGUUUCCUCCACUUAAAGAAAGAAAAAGACAAAGAGGAGAAGGAAGGCAAUACGGAGCUCUCCUGGAAGGUACAUUAAAUCAUUAAAUGCCA